Molecule: ribosomal RNA, 460 nt
Filed under: uncultured bacterium
Lineage: Bacteria
Description: partial 16S ribosomal RNA
Rfam family: Bacterial small subunit ribosomal RNA
Source: RNAcentral
CCUACGGGUGGCAGCAGUGAGGAAUAUUGGUCAAUGGACGAGAGUCUGAACCAGCCAAGUAGCGUGAAGGAUGACUGCCCUAUGGGUUGUAAACUUCUUUUAUAUGGGAAUAAAAUGUUCCACGUGUGGGAUUUUGUAUGUACCCUAUGAAUAAGGAUCGGCUAACUCCGUGCCAGCAGCCGCGGUAAUACGGAGGCUCCGAGCGUUAUCCGGAUUUAUUGGGUUUAAAGGGAGCGUAGGUGGAUUGUUAAGUCAGUUGUGAAAGUUUGCGGCUCAACCGUAAAAUUGCAGUUGAAACUGGCAGUCUUGAGUACAGUAGAGGUGGGCGGAAUUCGUGGUGUAGCGGUGAAAUGCUUAGAUAUCACGAAGAACUCCGAUUGCGAAGGCAGUUCACUGGACUGCAACUGACACUGAGGCUCGAAAGUGUGGGUAUCAAACAGGAUUAGAUACCCCAGUAGUC